UAUCAGUUAUGAGCAAAGUUGUUACUGAUUUCUUGUAUCUCCCAGGAUUCCUGUUGCUUUACCCACAACAGACAAGUGAUUGAAAAUUCCUGAAGCAUUUCCUGGAGUAGAAUGGGUAGUGAAGACCCAUGUCAGUGAUCAGAGGACUCCGGAAACCAGGAGAGCUGCCUGCUGUGUCAAGGCUGGCCUGAGGGCAUUUGCUGAGCACAGAGACACCCAGGAGAGAUCAACAGUCUUUUCCCACUCCUCCUCUUGAUCUGUCUGAUUUGCACACAGAAAGCCAGCCAGGAUCCCCUAAGAGAGUCUCUAGGCCACAAUGGAGUCCUCAGGGCUGCAGGGAGCUGUGAUGCUAACAAUUUAACCUGCUGAGGACUUUAAAGAGUUGAAGGGGACUAAUAGUACCCAAGCAC
Molecule: long non-coding RNA, 410 nt
Filed under: Neogale vison (American mink)
Lineage: Eukaryota; Metazoa; Chordata; Mammalia; Carnivora; Mustelidae
Description: Neovison vison (American mink) lncRNA (ENSNVIG00000024245.1)
Source: RNAcentral